This 442-nucleotide ribosomal RNA is filed under the name uncultured bacterium. RNAcentral's name for it is "partial 16S ribosomal RNA". It matches the Rfam family "Bacterial small subunit ribosomal RNA", at positions 338 to 795 of the family's 1533-position model. The record is from RNAcentral.
CCUACGGGAGGCAGCAGUGGGGAAUAUUGGUCAAUGGACGAAAGUCUGACCCAGCAACGCCGCGUGAAGGAAGAAGGCCCUCGGGUUGUAAACCUCCUUUUAGGGGGAAGAGAAGAAGACGGUACCCCUUGAAUAAGCUACGGCUAACUACGUGCCAGCAGCAGCGGUACUACGGAGGUGGCAGGCGUUGUCCGGAUUUACUGGGUGUAAAGGGCGUGCAGCCGGAGAGACAAGUCAGAUGUGAAAUCCACGGGCUCAACCCGAGAACUGCAGUUGAAACUGUUUCCCUUGAGUGUAGGAGAGGUAAGCGGAAUUCGUGGUGUAGCGGUGAAAUGCGUAGAUAUUAGGAAGAACACCAGUGGCGAAGGCGGAUUACUGGACGGUAACUGACGGUGAGGCGCGAAAGCGUGGGGAGCAAACAGGAUUAGAUACCCGUGUAGUC